GGCAGUGUAGCAUAGUGGUUAAGGAGCAGGACUCGUAACCAAAAGGUUGCCGGUUCGAUCCCUGCUGUGACAUUGCUG
RNAcentral lists this transfer RNA (78 nucleotides) under Megalops atlanticus (tarpon). RNAcentral's name for it is "tRNA-OTHER". Lineage: Eukaryota; Metazoa; Chordata; Actinopteri; Elopiformes; Megalopidae. The record is from RNAcentral.